CUCCUCCUUCUCCUUCUUCUCUUCUUCUUCUUCUUCUUCUUCUUCUUCUUCUCCUCCUCCUUCUCCUUCUUCUCUUCUUCUUCUUCUUCUUCUUUCUUUUCAUUUUGCCUAUUUCUUCUCCUCUUCUCCUCUUGUUGGAGCUAAAUUACCUAAUUAUGUCUUUUUUUAGCUAAAUGGGCUAAUUAUCCCAUUUUAGAGGAAAACAA
This 206-nucleotide long non-coding RNA is filed under the name Hordeum vulgare. RNAcentral's name for it is "long non-coding RNA (HVUL_LNC012081)". Lineage: Eukaryota; Viridiplantae; Streptophyta; Magnoliopsida; Poales; Poaceae. The record is from RNAcentral.